RNAcentral lists this long non-coding RNA (209 nucleotides) under Elaeis guineensis (African oil palm). RNAcentral describes it as "long non-coding RNA (EGUI_LNC012644)". Lineage: Eukaryota; Viridiplantae; Streptophyta; Magnoliopsida; Arecales; Arecaceae. The record is from RNAcentral.
UCUAAUCACUUGUAUCAUAGUCCCUAAAUGAUCAUAAUCUAAGCUCUGAUAACAUUCUAAAAUAUUCAAAUCACUUAUAUUAUAAUCUCUAAUGAUCAUAACCUAUACUCUGAUAUCAUUAUGUAAUAUUCAAAUCACUUAUAUUAUAAUCCUUAAUGAUCAUAACCUGAGCUCUGAUACCAUUCCGUCACGCCCUGAACCCAACGCCC